GACGAACCGUGCGAACGUUGUUCGGAAUCACUGGGCUUAAAGGGCGCGUAGGCGGGUCACCAAGUCCGGGGUGAAAUCCCCCAGCUCAACUGGGGAAGUGCCUUAGAUACUGGUGGUCUUGAGGAGGGUAGGGGCAUCUGGAACGCUGGGUGGAGCGGUGAAAUGCGUUGAUAUCCAGCGGAACUCCGGUGGCGAAGGCGAGGUGCUGGACCAUUUCUGACGCUGAGGCGCGAAAGCCAGGGGAGCGAACGGG
RNAcentral lists this ribosomal RNA (253 nucleotides) under uncultured bacterium. RNAcentral's name for it is "partial 16S ribosomal RNA". It matches the Rfam family "Bacterial small subunit ribosomal RNA", at positions 524 to 776 of the family's 1533-position model. The record is from RNAcentral.